Molecule: long non-coding RNA, 5820 nt
Organism: Oncorhynchus gorbuscha (pink salmon)
Lineage: Eukaryota; Metazoa; Chordata; Actinopteri; Salmoniformes; Salmonidae
Exons: 2
Source: RefSeq, a predicted model, not a curated record
CGCGCCUCUUUGCAAAACAGUUACCCAACAUCACUUAAGCGGAAACAGCGACGACUUCCGUGUCAACUUUCAGCACAGUUAUCACGAACUCUGUGCUUAUCUAGUUAUGAUGCACAUGUAUUUUCAGCUUUGAAAAAGUUGCUUCCAUUCAUGCAGAAUGGUGUUUUACUUCACGAGUGCAGGUGAGAAGCUGAGCUUGUCUUUUAGCUGGCUAGCCCGUACAUAGUUAGUUAACGUUAGGUAGUUAGCAGAUGAGCUAACUAGAGAAUCUUCUUGAAUCGUUUUGUUAACGAGCAACGUUUGAUGUCUUGUGAGAGAGCUUUCAUGUCAAAUCAUCUAAAUAGUUUGUUUUUGUUUACAUUCAGGCCAGCAGAGGAAACGUUAGUCUGUGCCUUCUCCCUACAGUUUUCAGCCAUUAACGUUAGUUUCGCCCAGGACUGGCUCAUGUGAACUACAAUCCCGACGCUGUUUUAACGUUUAGAAACGUCAAUAAUCAUAGUUUGCAAUAUGGCAUUUGAAACAUAUGUCCCUUUGAUCAGCGAGAAAGACUCCUUCAAAUAAAAAUAAAAAAUACACACUUACUGUAGCAGUUAUACACAGAUCCAUGUCUGGCUGGCCCAAUCCCAUUUUCCAGCUGCUCCCCAGAGCACAUUUGCUCAUCACCCCAGGGCUGACAUUCUAGAGCAGACCAAUAAGGUUUGUGGAUACCAGGAGACCCUGAGACGGUUCAUACCGCCUCCUCAGGCCCCGGGUCCAAGGCAGACGGAUUGUUGCCACCCACCUGCACCCGAACGACGGUGGGGUCCCUCUCCUGCCCCAUCGCCUCGUGCUAAGGGUCGACAGCAGGGAGGGGCACAUCGUGAGGUGAAGCAACAGCCUGUUUUUCCCACGUGGGUCUUCCCUGAUUUUUGCAGAGGUACUGAGUAAUUUAUCCCUCACCGGGUUCCUAUUCCUCCAAGCGGGUCACGACAUAAGCUCUCCCAGGGCUUCGUGGCCUUGUUGGCUUGGCUGAGCUUAUGGCUUGUCUUUGUGACAGGUGUGAUGGUGUCCACCGUCACCGCCAUUGGGACGUGCCUGGGGGACCCAUGCGCUCUGGGUGCCAGAGGAGAGGCUGGCCCCAGCAGGUCAUCUGACACACCCCUCCUCUGCUUCUUCUCCCAGUCUCUUUGGGCUCUGGGAUGUCUAGCGUCUCUAUGCGCAGCACACGUACCUGGCAUCCUAAAUGUGGCAGCAGAUAUGCUCUUGAAGUAGGGCCCACCACCUUGAGACUGGAGCCUACAUCCCCAGGUGGUGCAGCAUCUGUGGGACAAAUUCGGGAGGGCGCAAGUGGACCUGUUUGCCUCCUUGGACAAUGCACACUGCCACCUGUGGUACUCCAUGCCGGAGCCACCAGGACCUCUGUGCUUGGAUGCUCUGGCUCACGAUUGGCCAGGGCUGGAGCUUACACAUUCCCCCCUUUUCCCCUGAUCCAGGCUGUGCUGGACAGGACCAGGAUGGCAGAGCAUUGUCUGCUGCUGGUGGCCCCAUACUGGCCCAGACAACCCUGGUUCAGCCUUCUCCUGUCCCUGUUGUCUGGGACACCUUGGCAACUUCCCUUGAAACCGGACCUGCUGUCUCAGGUCAGGGGAACUCUGUGGCAUCCAAGGCCGCACCGCCUCAGUCUGUGGGCUUGGCCACUGGUCCAUGUUAGGACUACAGGAGGGUGUAAUGAACACCAUGCAGAGCGCAAGGGCGCUGGCUACAUCUGCUGCAUACCAGUUGCUCUGGGCGGUUGUUCUGCUCUUAGUGUACUGGUAUUGAGGUUGUGCCCGAGUAAUGCUGGGUGCAGUAAUGUCCUCCAAUAUCUGUAGUCUUGCUUCUAUGAGGGUUUGGCAGCCUCUACCCUGAGAGGGUAUUUGGUCGCUAUAUCUGCCUGCCAUGUGGAGUGGAUGGAGAAGCCAUAGGGGCGCCAUCCCUUGGUCUCCGGGUUUAUGAAAGGGGUUCGUCCCGUGCGUCCAGCUAGGACCUGCUCAGUGGCGAGAUGGGAUCUGGAUGUGGUAUUGGCAGGUUUGACAAAGCCGCCUUUCGAACAGUUGGAGUCAGCCUCCCUGAAACACCUCUCUAUGAAGGUGGUUUUCUUGGUAGCGAUUACUUCCAUGAAGAGGGUGGGUGAGCUCCAUGCUCUUUCAGUAAGUGUUGAGUGCUACCGGAUGGACCCUGGGGGGAAGAGUAUAUAUCUCCGCCCCAACCCUCCAUUCCUCCCAAAGGUUCUGUCAGACAGACAUGUGAACAUCUCUUUUUAUCCUGUCUGCUUACGACCCCCGCCUCCCCGGCAGUGGCGGGGGGGUCUGGGCCUCCCUCCGGCAUGCUGUGCCUUGUGAGGGCACUGGCUGCCUAUGGGGAGCGGACACGGUCAGUGAGAACAACAGACCAGCUCUUUGUCUCACUGGAUCAUGGACACAAUUACGACAGCAUACUGCCUGGCUGGCAGGCCAGUGCUGGGAUCUGUGGUGGCACAUUCAACAUGAGAUGUGGCUGCGUCCUGGGCUCUACUGAGAGGAGUGCCCCUCGCUGAUAUCUGUGCUGCGGCCAACUGGGCUUCCUCUUGCACCUUUGCAAGAUAUUGGGUAAAUGUGGAACCUCCCUCUCCGGUUGGUUCAGCGGUCCUGGGUUUCGCCUCCCCUUCCGGGGACUGUGCCGGGACCCACCCUUCCACAUUGACUGCCCCAGCGUCUCGGUCCCUCUCUGGGACUUUGACUCUGGCUUGCCUAGGUCCUUCUAGCACCGACUAAUCUGGUACUGGUAUACCAACAUAUUGGAGUGAUCCAAUAUAGUGAAACAUAAUGAAGGUUACGUAUGUAACCACGGUUAUGUGAACUAUAUGGAUCAUUCCAAUCCUCUACGUGCUAGAGGCGCCUUAGAAAUUAUGUUGAGAACAUGUGUCACGGCCAUGGUGUCUAUAUAUAGGGGCGAACCCCAGCCGUGUCUCGGGUGUACACGGAAGUACAUCUGUAAAUCUUCACCUCGGAUGUAUCCCUCCGCUGCAGAGUGAUAUCAAUAUAUUGGAGUGAUCCAUAUAGCUCACAUAACCGUGGUUACAUACGUAAUCUUCGGUGUAUAUGAUCCUCAAAAAACAAUGAGGAGAUGGGAGAGGCCGGACUUGCAGCGCGUUGAGCGUCACAAAUUGAACAAAUUUAUAUUUUAGCUCAUGCCCACGCAGAUACUCGCUGACGCCGGUGAGCAAUGUGGGUGCAAUAAGUGAAUAACAUGUAUGUGUACAUUUAUUUUGCAACGCUCGUACAUGAGCGGUGUGGUCAGCAUGUUAUGCUUCACGGAGCAGAGCUGAUGUCAAGGAAGUGAGUUUGUGUUUAUAUACAGGACCCCCCGCCCGCCCCCACCUACCAUCAAUCAAUCAAUCAAUCAAUCAUGUCAAUGCGGAGCUAUACUGAGCCCACAGCAUUGUUUUGGGAGGCGGUGGGCACACAGGACAUUGGUACAGGACAUUGAUACAGAGCUCAAUUUGGCCCCUGCGUGCCUCUGGAGGCUCUGCAAUUGCGUCACACCCUCCUUACGAAGUCUCCGACCACAUUUUCAUUUUUCGGAUCAAGCAUAAAUUGGCUCUUACGCUUACUUACAGGUUUUCUGAUCACGCUAGAUAGCUAAUUAGCAUAUCGCUGCUUGUCUGUUUACCGUAAACAAGCGCAGUAACAUGGAGAUGUGAUCGUGUGGGAAAACUAACACUAUCACGGUGUGUAUCAAUUUAACCUUUUUGUUUUUUCAAAAUAAUUUCUCACUGAUAUGAAAGAUAAGUUCCUUAUGCUUCCAAAACCAAACCACAAGUGACGCGUGUUAAUGGUAAGAAUAACGCUUCGAACACACCGACUGGGUUUGGCAUCACUGCUCAUAACAUUUUGCGCACCUAAGCAACUAUACUGAUGCAGGUACCUUUUGCAAAUUGUCGCAUGCAGUUGGACACAUGGAGGAGAUAAUCAUUUUCGCAGUAUCCUCAAAACCGUGUCUUUUUGACACAACUGCUGACAGCUACAGGGAUAUAAACACAAAAACAUGCUGCUUGGAGACAAGUGUCCACGAUAGUAGGAUUGCCAUGUCAGUUUAGUAGUGAGCUUGUGCUCGAUGUGGCUAGUUAGCGUUAGCUAGCUAGCUAACCUAGCCAAUGAGGUGUGUGUGAAAGAAAUAGUCAAAUUAUGCAAGUUACUACCCUUGAUAACUUAUCCAAAUAAUAAUGUUUGAAAGAGUGUGAGUGUGUAUGUUAGAUUAAUAGAAAUGGUAGAUACUACUGUACCCUGAUAAUUUGGUCAGAUAACUGUGUGUCUGUGUAGAGUAGGUGACAUGUCCAUGAUAGCUAUCUAAUAACUAUAGUUAUGCUAGGUAAUGGUUUGGCUUAUCACGUUCAUGUCUAUGUAGAAGAAGACUGUAGGAGGAAGUGGAGAGGACUCAGGGACAGGUAUCAGAGAGAGAGAAGGGCAGAGAAAGAUAAGAGGUCUGGGUCAGCAGCUUCAGGCCAGCAGCCUUGGCGCUUCUGCCACAUUCUUUUCUGGAUCCAUUUAUUGUGCCUCGGGCAACGAGUGGCAAUUUUACAGCCAGACCCUCUACUACGUCAUCCACAAGUGUUGUCGCCACUGGUGCAUCAAGACCCUCAAUGUCAUCUACAAGGGCGACCAUCACCUCCACCGGUGGAGUGAGACCCUCAACAUCAUCAUCCAUGAGUAUGACCACUACCAGUGCAGCCAUGGAAGAUGAUGAAAUGGAGGAAGCACCUCUGGAUCUAGCACCACCUGAGAUUAUUAUGAACCUCACGGAAGUGACCACUGAGGACCUCGUUGAACAGGAUGUGGCCGUGGAGAGAAACAGAGAAACGAAGAGGAACAACGUCACACCAGGCGUCAUCGGAGGUAACAGCCCCCAGAUCCACUCAACUCAUUUCAGCAGAGGCUCCUCCAAGCCGUCGAGCGGGAUGCAGCACAACCUGAUGAUCACAGGAAGGAGACCCUCUUUGCCAUGAGCCUGGUGCAGACACUGAAGAGGCUGCCUCAGCAAAGAAAAGCAGCAGUCAAGGUUAAAAUGUAUCAGCUGCUUUUCAAAGCCUAGUUCAAUGAGAUGGAGUCAAUUUAACAGACAAGCUCACAGGAAGAGGAAAGGAGUUGCCGGGGCCGACCAGCUCACAGGAAGGACAGGAAGAGGAGUUGUCUGGUUGUUGUUUUGACCUCCCUCAUUGUACCUUUCUUUUCACACAUGUCAUUUGUUUAUAAAGUCUUAGGAUAGCAUUCAUUAUUAGUGUUACAUAGAUUUCUGAAUUGAAACUCAUACAGAGUUUUCACAGAUGCUCUUGGUCUCUUACAAGACUAAAGGUCAAUAUAUUUCUUUCAUUUAAAACCACUUGAAAACCAGGGUGUUGAAACUUUUUGUGAAGUUAUGUUCCAUCGACUGGUCCGUGACUUCCAGGGGCCAUUUGUUUGUUUAGCUGCGUUAUGGCUACAUAUUAUUCCCUUUUUCUCAGAGACCGAGACACACCUCUUCAUACCUCAGAUCUCCAGUGCCCUGCCCUCUCUCUCUUUAUGGCCAUGUCUGAAGUUCCCCUACUACAGCUAGGAUUUAUGAGUAGUCCCUGUAUCGGUCUGCAGUUGUGCCAAAAAUACAUGCUCUUGCUGUUCUCUUACAGAUUACAGGCUACACAUUCAUUUAAAAACAUAUAUUUUUUUUUUACACGCGCACACACACACACCUCUUUCAAUAGUUUUAUUUUUUAAACGUUUUUACAAUACACAUACCUGUCAUGUUCUUUCCUGUACUUGAAUACUUAUUAAAUUAUGUUUUUUCUUA